RNAcentral lists this ribosomal RNA (441 nucleotides) under uncultured bacterium. Its description in RNAcentral is "partial 16S ribosomal RNA". It matches the Rfam family "Bacterial small subunit ribosomal RNA", at positions 338 to 795 of the family's 1533-position model. The record is from RNAcentral.
CCUACGGGUGGCAGCAGUGGGGAAUAUUGCACAAUGGGGGCAACCCUGAUGCAGCGACGCCGCGUGAGUGAAGAAGUCUUUCGGUAUGUAAAGCUCUAUCAGCGGGGACGAAGAUAGACGGUACCUGACUAAGAAGCCCCGGCUAACUACGUGCCAGCAGCCGCGGUAAUACGUAGGGGGCAAGCGUUAUCCGGAUUUACUGGGUGUAAAGGGCGCGUAGACGGCUAUGCAAGUCUGAAGUGAAAGCCCAGGGCUUAACCCCGGGACUGCUUUUGAAACUGUGUGGCUAGAGUGAUGGAGAGGUAAGCGGAAUUCCCAGUGUAGCGGUGAAAUGCGUAGAUAUUAGGAGGAACACCAGUGGCGAAGGCGGCUUGCUGGACAGUAACUGACGUUGAGGCGCGAAAGCGUGGGGAGCAAACAGGAUUAGAUACCCGUGUAGUC